RNAcentral lists this small RNA (367 nucleotides) under Acinetobacter phage YMC13/03/R2096. RNAcentral's name for it is "Giant, ornate, lake- and Lactobacillales-derived (GOLLD) RNA". It matches the Rfam family "Giant, ornate, lake- and Lactobacillales-derived (GOLLD) RNA". The record is from Rfam by way of RNAcentral. Lineage: Duplodnaviria; Heunggongvirae; Uroviricota; Caudoviricetes.
UUAGGUAGUGUGGUAUUGAUGGGUUCAAAAGAUCUGUUAGCCACAGAGAAACCACUAUCUAUGCAAUACAAAUUUCAUUUUAGGAAAAAAUUAAAUUCAAAAGUGUUUCUCACGUUGGCAUGAAAGGUGCUUACAUAGUAAUGGGUUGUCCAUUGCACAUUUAACCUGAAAGGUUAUUUGUAUUUUCAUGAAAGGAUUAUGUUUGGUAGGCAUACUAGCAUAGUUUGAGUAUUGGGAGAGUAGUUCCAACGUCUAAGAGUGGUUAGCUAUACUGACCAGCACUGAUCACUACUAUAUAAAGUAUAGUGGAUAAUGAGGGAAAAGAUAAUCCUCUCAAGGUGGUCAUUUAAACGUGUAAUCUCAGCGU